Molecule: long non-coding RNA, 513 nt
Organism: Lacerta agilis (Sand lizard)
Lineage: Eukaryota; Metazoa; Chordata; Lepidosauria; Squamata; Lacertidae
Exons: 3
Source: RefSeq, a predicted model, not a curated record
AAAAAUUGAAGUUCAGGAGCUCAUCUUGGCAGCCUUCAUAGCUGCGCUUCAAAGGCAACUGGGUCAUGUGAAGCAGACAAGGCAGUUUCAUUAGGCAACAGCAGAUGGCCAGCUGGAAAUGUUUAAGGGCAUUUCCCCUCAUAUUAUCUGCCCAAGGCUGGGGCAAAGAGCCACCUGAUGUGGAGAAGAGAGCAACUGAUGAGAGAAUCUUGAAAAUACCUGGGUCUUGCCAGCUGCCAGUGGAAAGGAUGGUUGUGAAAGUCUGGUUGCAUCACUCGACUCUUGGAAGAGCGUUCUGAAUCCUGUGCUUUGCUGGAAAGCACUUGUCCCUCCGUUGACUAGGAUGAUGCCUUUCUCUAUAGACAACCUAUUUGGGAGACUUUGAAGACUGGGGUCCUUCGCAAUACUUCACUUCUCCAUGGAGAAUGACUUUCAGGUUCCUUCUUUUGCUGCUGUCGCUUCCAGCCACCUGCUCAGCCACACCUAUGAAAGGAACCCACUGGAUGAGGAAAU